AAAAUAUUUUGGGGAAGAAUCCUAGAAGAUUUCAGCAUCCUGCCGUGCAAAAAAAAGCGUCUACGCAGAGACGAGAGAAAGCCCUUACUGCAGGCAUAGGUUAUCCACCCUCACGUGCUUCCUACAGCAAUCUCAAAGGAACAGUUUUGCAAGGUGAAUUGUUGCCCCAAAUGGGUUGUUAAGAGCUGUUAAUUAGCUCCUGGUGGGACGAGCAGCUGGGCCUGGUCUGUGGGGUGGGGAGGUGCAGCUGUGAGCUGGCAGAAACUGGCUGCUCAGCCUGGUAGAUCUCCAAAUAUUUGAAACUGGUAGAUCCAGGUUCUCAUUUUUGGCUGUUUUUAUUUUAUUGUGCAAGAGCAUCCUGUUAUCACCUCUCUCUGUGCUGAGCUGGUCUGCUCAGCAGCAGCCUUGGUGCUCUGCCUCGGGCUGCUGGCAUCUGGUUGUUCCCCAACAAGGCACAGAGCUGAGACCUCUCCAGUCGCCAAGACCUCUGUGAGAUUCCUGGAUAUGGCACUUCUGUGGCUAUGCUGCACCUGGCAGGAUGUGCCAACAGCACUGCCCAUCUCUUCAAGAAGAGCAGUCCUCCUGGUUGGUUCACUGACCAGAUUUACCCAUGAGAUCACACAGUGUGUAAAACUGGGAACCUAAUGAAAAAACAGAUGUGAUGCAACCCAUGGUGUUAACAAGCCUGAGGAAAACUGAUAGAAGUAUUUGGAAGCUUCAGUGUGAAUACAAAGACUGAUGAUUUUUUUUGUUUUGUUUUCAAUUGUUGCUACUGAAUACAGAGUGUGUUUGAAGAUCUGAAAUUUUCAUUUGAGGAAAAAGUUGCCUUCUUGUUCUUUUCCUCAUGCUGUGUUGACAUGUUUUCAUCAACUACAUCGUAUUACCUCUUCUACAUUAAAGGCUAAUCACAGACUUGGAGUCUGCAGUUACCAGCUACAAAUAGAACGAUUUCUCCCUGUGAGACCACAGCAUUCCUCAAGCAAUUUUCCACCUUUAUGCAGGUUUUUUGUUUUGUUUCAUGAGGGGUUUUUGUUUGUUUCUUACCAUCUGCCUUGCAAUUAAGUUAUUUAAAAGCACCCGCAUCAAAGAAGUGUUCUGGUUCUCUACAGACAGCACCACUGCAGUGCAGCAGUGACAAAAAUAAUCUACCCAGUUCCAUUGCUCAUUAUGAUGAAACAAAUAGUUCCCUUACUAUUUCUUACUGACAAUUACAAAAUCAAAUCACAAAAAACCCCACAUUUUCAAAAUGUGUGAAGAAAACCAUUCUUCUUCAGAUAAAACCCAGCUAGACAAUGAAAAUCAGAUCAGAAGCAUUUAUCUUCUAUUUACAUAUACAUAAAAUAUAUAUAGACAAAUCAUAAAGUUGCUGGAGAUUUUCAUUUUUCUUGUGUUUUUAGAAUAUGUUGAAUACAUUAUCUGUAUGAAAAUCAUAAUGGUAUGAUCCAAUAUCUAUAUUACAUUCAUAUUUUCAAUGUAAAAAUGUAUAUGUUGCUUUAAUGCUCCUUCUAGUCUUUAGGCUUUAUGGAGUGUGGAGAACAGGUACAGUUGAAGAAAGGGAUGGAAGAUUAGGGCUGAAGAGCAAUCUUAGGAAGCUCUGAAGCAGCUAGUACUUCACAUUAAUUGUUGUUAAGAGUGUUGUAGGGAUGAGCUUUUCAAAGGACACAAUAUUUAAACUGUGAGGCUAUACUAAAUGUAAAGGCAGAGGGGAAAAAAAGCAUGGAUUAGGGGAGCCAUUUAAAAAAGAAGCCAGCUUUGGCAUUUUUCCCACUUCUGUUUUUUCCCACUAUGCAAUAAUAAAGGGAGAAAGAAGGCAAAACA
Molecule: long non-coding RNA, 1818 nt
Organism: Phasianus colchicus (ring-necked pheasant)
Lineage: Eukaryota; Metazoa; Chordata; Aves; Galliformes; Phasianidae
Source: Ensembl